This 30-nucleotide non-coding RNA is filed under the name Homo sapiens (human). Lineage: Eukaryota; Metazoa; Chordata; Mammalia; Primates; Hominidae. The record is from RNAcentral.
UAGAUGACUGUCCUGACCUAGAGCCGUGUU